Non-coding RNA from Ruminococcus sp. CAG:9, 182 nucleotides. NCBI's taxonomy places the organism in Bacteria, Bacillati, Bacillota, Clostridia, Eubacteriales, Oscillospiraceae. The record is from Rfam.
AAUAUCCUGAAAUGUACGAGGCCCCUUCUUUUUUUGAACCUACAUCGACUUUAACGGGAACCCAACAUCGCAGGCCGGAUGUCAGGCCGUCAUUAUGCAGCGGAAGACAGAAGGUCUGUUGAGGAUACCCACCUAGCUGCGGCUAGGCGUCAAUGGGAAGGGAACGGCAUUUCGGGAACUGU